CAAAGAGAAGCAAGACCGUGAGGUGGAGCAAAACUCAAAAACUUAGUCUCAGUUCGGAUUGUAGGCUGAAACUCGCCUACAUGAAGCUGGAGUUGCUAGUAAUCGCGAAUCAGCAUGUCGCGGUGAAUACGUUCCCGGGCCUUGUACACACCGCCCGUCACACCAUGAGAGUUGGCAAUACCCAACGUACGUGAUCUAACCCGCAAGGGAGGAAGCGUCCUAAGGUAGGGUCAGCGAUUGGGGUGAAGUCGUAACAAGGUACC
Molecule: ribosomal RNA, 263 nt
Filed under: uncultured bacterium
Lineage: Bacteria
Description: partial 16S ribosomal RNA
Rfam family: Bacterial small subunit ribosomal RNA
Source: RNAcentral